This 83-nucleotide transfer RNA is filed under the name Bifidobacterium pseudocatenulatum. RNAcentral's name for it is "tRNA-Tyr". It matches the Rfam family "tRNA". From Rfam's summary of the family: Transfer RNA (tRNA) molecules are approximately 80 nucleotides in length. RNAcentral also lists the same sequence under 1 other name. The record is from RNAcentral. Lineage: Bacteria; Bacillati; Actinomycetota; Actinomycetes; Bifidobacteriales; Bifidobacteriaceae.
GGCGGGUUGCCGCAGUGGCCGACCGGAGCCGACUGUAAAUCGGCCGCUUCACCGCCGCGCAGGUUCGAAUCCUGCACCCGCCA